CAAAACACUGACGUUAAAAUCAGAACAGAUGAUCAACAAAACAGAGUAAUCAGAGUAUCUCAAGGAGGAAUCUACCGCUGCAGAGGAAGAAGAGGAAACCCAGAUUACUACACUGAUAAAAGUGAUGAUGUCACCAUUGAGAUAACCUUUUCCAAUAAGGUUGUUGUAAAAGGACGACCCAGCUGGCCUCAGAUAUUCAGCGGUGAGACGAUCAGUCUGACAUGUGAGGUGCAGGAAGGAGGUGAAACCACUGAGUGGGAGUAUAGAUGGAGAGGACCCAACCAAACCACACAGUGGACUCAGAAUAAUUACUGGAUAUUCAAUGUUUCUGAGUCCAGCAGUGGAGACUACAUGUGUAAGAGUCGACGCAGAGAUGACUCAUAUUCUUCAACAGAGUGGAGUGAAGCCUUCAACUUGUCAGCAUCAACUGUGCUCAGUUCUGAGAGUUCUUCAUUUCUAAUGAUCUUUGGACUAAUUUCUGGAAUCACAUUUAUUUUCCUCCUGCUCUUGCUGUGUUGCUGCAUGAAGUCCAAAGUUUGUAAUAAAGGUUCAGCUGAUGACCAGAGGGUGAGUCAGGAUGAAGAUCAGCAGCAGGUGUACUCCUCUCUUCUUCAUGGUGAUCGUUGUGUCUAUGAGACAAUCAGAGGCUCUAAAAACACUGAUACUGGUCAAAUAGAAGGUGAUUCAUGUGUGAUUCAGCUCAAAGUGAUUAACAAGACACAGCCCCGUGGUGACCCAGAGGAGAGCUCUGACUAUUAUAAUGUCAAUCCAAAUUCAAUCCCAGGUCCAUAAAGAGCAGCUCACCAUCACGAGGGUAUGGCACCACACUCUGUUCCAGUGUGUUCUGAAAAAGGCCUUUUGGUAUUAUCCUGAAAUGUACAUUAUUUUGCAGUUUCGGGUAACCUUCCUGUGGCAGGGGUGUGGUCUUUGCCUCCGCAGCAGGGGAGGGGUGGUGCAGCAGGGGGCAGUGCCAGGGACACUGAUGGAGAGGGUGGAGAUAGUUCCUCUAAUGAGAAUCUUUUAGUGAUGCCAAGACGCAUAAAGAGCAGUGCAGUCAGCUGGAGAGCUGAGUGACGUGGGUGCUGAAC
This is a long non-coding RNA of Oreochromis aureus, 1088 nucleotides long. NCBI's taxonomy places the organism in Eukaryota, Metazoa, Chordata, Actinopteri, Cichliformes, Cichlidae. The record is from Ensembl.